UUAAAUUUUAGUCAAUUCAAUAAAUAUUUUCAACUCCGCCUCUGUACCAGGCACCAAGCUACAGACUGGAGUUCUGGCAAUGAACACUGCAGACAUGGCCGCCCUUAGCCGCAUGGAGCUUAGGGUCUGGGAGCAUUGUCAGUUUCUGAAUCCUCCAAGCCCUAAACUAUGUUCUCUCUUCAAAUUAGAGAAAAGAAAUGAGACAGCAGGCCUGCUUCUUUGAGUGUUUUUUCUUUUUUGUUUCCGUUUUCUGACAACCAUACUUCACGUCUGACAGAGGAAAUGAUUCUUUUUGACAGUGAUAAAUUUAUGAGUUUUGACUGUUUGUGAAGUUCCCUAAUUAAUUCUUUAUAGACUUCUAUUGGCAACUGCAUUUGUGUUUUGAGUUAAAAAUGGGAGUUCAGAUGAAUUACAGUUGAACAUUCUGCUCCCUUUGAAGAGCUCAUACUCCACGUUCUACGCUGUUAAUCUCUCUGCUUACCGAGCGGCACUGUUUGUCUUGCAGUGACGCACGGCUGGUGGUUACCAUGGCAUAGGAAAACAUUGCCAGCGAUGGCCCUGUCGUCACGGAACCCCUGGGCCAUCUCCCGAGCAACUUGUAUUUUCCAGGAGUCAAGAAAUAUCUACACGUCCACUGAGAUAAAAUAUUUUAGUAAAGCAGCUCUGUCUAAUCAUUCAGUCAAACAUGAGCCUCAAUGCUAA
RNAcentral lists this long non-coding RNA (702 nucleotides) under Macaca mulatta (Rhesus monkey). RNAcentral describes it as "lncRNA (ENSMMUG00000060863.1)". The record is from RNAcentral. Lineage: Eukaryota; Metazoa; Chordata; Mammalia; Primates; Cercopithecidae.